GGGUGGAAGAGCGACUCGGCAGUGUAAUGGGGUGCGGUCCGGACAUGGAGCCACCCAGUGGACGCUGGUGAGUGGGUCACCGGGACGGUUGACCCUUAGGGAGGGGGCAGUGUAGCGUCGCCACUGGGUCUGGCACGGGCUUUACCCAGAAAGCCUUGCGGCAGUGGUGUCUAAGCUCACCGUGGCCGUGUAUCCCGAUGUUGAGAGUGGGGUGGCUGCGGUGAGGGCUGGGUAAGUAGCUUAUAUGUUUGUCUGUUGUAUGAUUGUAUGUGUGUAUGAAUGGGUUAAGUGGCUAGAAGGGAUGGUUGGGCCAUGGAAGGGAGUUAUUGCGAGUUUGGUGAUGUCAGCAUGCGUGGGAUUGGUAAUUUUAGUGAUAUGUUGUUGUUGUGGUAUCCCGUGCAUCAGGGUAUUAAUAGAAAAUUUUUUAAUAGAUAUAGUGAGUAGAGGAAGCAGAGGGGGGCAGGAUCCACCAGUUAUCCAGAUGGUGUUGGCUGAUUUGUCGAGAUAUCAUGUAGAUGAAGAUGAGGAGGAUGCCCUUGAAGAUGGGCCGGAAGACCCACUUCGAGCAGUAUAAGUGCUACUAACUCUGCUUAAUUAAAGGUAAAACCGACCAGACAAGAUGAGGAGAGAGGACCAGCACUACUAAUCACACACCGUGAUGAAGGAAGGAGACUGGGAAGGACUGGCAGAGGCAGACACUGAGGGGACUGGAAGACCCACUCCAAGGGACAGAAGUGCCACUAACUGGACCUGCCUACAGGGAACUAAACACAGCAGAAAGCCCGACAAAACCAACCAUGUGGAAGAAGAGUCCAGCGGAAUCAACGGAGCGGAACAAGACGAGGGGGGAGAAUUUAGUUAGACUAGGAGACAAAAACAUAAACAUAUAGUUCGCAGACACAUAGACCAUCUUUGAAAACACUAGUUAAGUGCAACACACAUAGUUUAGCUACAAAACGCAAGGGGUUAGUUCAGGAUUGUUUACAAUGUAUAUAUGUUUGGUACUCUGCUAUUUUUAGGAAAUGUUUGUGCUGCUGUGGAAACAGGUAAGGCCGACAGGGGAGAAUCCAUAAGACAUUAGGAGUCAUGCAGAGACACAGGAGCUAUGGGCCCCUUCUGAAUAUCUGCAGCUCCGUCUGGUGGAGGACAACCUGAACGGACUUCCUGUAGAAGCCACGCACCCAUUGUUUUUAUUUUAUUUUUCUCGUGUUUGAUUUCCUAUUUUUUAAAUUACUUUAUUUUUGAUUUCCUGUUUUUAUUAUUUUUUGUUUGUUUGUUUGUUUUAGGGUUAGGAGCUGUUGCGAUAGGUACGGUUCCUUUAGUUUAACUGGUAGCCUUUUUAUUUUUAGAAACGUUUUAUUGUAAAAAAUUCAGCCCAGUGGCCAUGUAGUCAGAAGGGGUUAAAUUGGGGGUUGCUGACGGCUAUCCUUAUCUCCUGGAAUCUAGAAAACACCUAACCUAUAGUUAAAAGUUAAUGUGAAAGCAUUAAGAUGCUUUCAAGGGGGAAUUGUUAGGUUUUUCGGAACAUAAAAACGUACAUUUAAUAUGGGAAGUUUUACGGCAUUUUCCAAGCUUUACCACAUGCAUGCCGCAUGGCCGCCGCAUGGUCUAUUGUUCAAAAUGGCGGCCAUGAUCUCUUGGCAGAGGGCGGAGCCUGGGCCUCUUUAGCACAUUUCAUUGGCUUCAACAGCAGUAAAGGAGAAGGAGCCUAGACUAGUUUAAAAAAGGACGGCGCGGACAGAAGGGCUCUCUUUCUUACGUGGUUGUGUGUGUAGACUGCAGGAGUAAGGAGCGCCGGUCGGCUUAGCUCUGAUAUAUAUUCACAGAUUAUUUUUACACUUAAUAAAGUGAACUUUUAAAGAGUACUUUCUGGACUUCCUUCGACUGCUUUCUUCAGGACCUUUUGAACUAAAAGAUUUAUCCUAACACGCGUUAGCCUGUUAGCAUCAUCGGUACGGUCGCAUGUUAACGUAAAGUAUAAAAUGACACGUGACACCAUAUCAGACAUUUGAAUAUUAUCAUUUUGUGUGUGUGUGUGUGUGUGUGUGUGUGUGUGUGUGUGUGUGUGAGAGAGAGAGAGAGAGAGAGACUUGGUGUUGCAUAUUAUUGCCAUUUUUAUAUAAAAUGCCCUGUAUAAUUUUGCUAAUAGGUAAUUGGACGGAUCUCACGGCAGAUCAAACAAAUGAGACGUGGCCUCAAGGAAACCCCGAUGUGGCCAGUUUUGUCCCAGCGCCCAGACACGGUGCCUCUGCUUUUCCCAAGAGUCAUUCGUGUGUACCCCAGAGUUAAUUCUUCAGGCAGUUUGCUGGCCUGAACAAGAGGAAGAUGAUUCUGAUUCUGAAUACCCACUAGCUACCAAGUUCUGCAUUUCUGGAUUCCUCAGACAAUUUAUUGAAACUGCAUCUCCUGAUGAAGUCAAAAGCCUGCUAAAGUUCUGGACAGGGUGGGAGGUUAUACCUAGAGCGCUCACCUUUGAAAUUGUUAAAGGUAGCCUUCCAACAGCAUCUACCUGCUUUGAGGUGCUCAAGAUCCCUGGCCAUUAUGAAGAUUUUGAAUCUUUCAAAAAUGAUUUGCUGUCAUGCAUUGAUACACAUCACACAGGGUUUGGGCUCAUUUAGAGUUAGUGUGGUGGUUGCCCCCCUUCUAUUUUUUUUGUGAACAAUGCUUCCAUUAUUUAUUUUUUGUUUAAAAGGACCUGAAGUGCAAGUUCAUUUUUAAUAUUUUUCACAGGUUAUCACUUUUCAGAUGGCAGUUUUGCUUCUCAUAGUUUGCAGUGCCUUUCCUGUCAGUUUGAAAAAGUUAGUUAAUUCUUCACUUGACAGUCUUAACUCCUCCUAGUUCAAAGGAAUUUUUUUAUUGAAAGAGCACAAUGUCUUUACUGUGAGGUUGAUUUGCAAAAAUGCAAGGUCAGUUUUAAUGUUUUAAAUAAAUUCACACUUCAGAUAUCAAUUUUUAGUUAAUCUACAGUUGUCAGUGGGCUUCGUUAUGUUCAGGCUAUAUACUAAAGCAGUAAUAAAUGCCCUUUAAUGUAGUAUGAGUUUUCUAUUAAACCUGAAUAAAUCUCUUACCAGUGUCAAUGUUCCAUAUCCUUCUACCUGCUAUAUUUGCCAUUGCAUGUAAUGGUAAAAAAGAAUGUAUUAUGGCUGAUAAAUCAGAAGAAAUGGUAGCUCUGAACUGUUUAUUAAACUACAUAUCUGUUGUGGUGCAAU
Trichomycterus rosablanca is the source of this 3209-nucleotide long non-coding RNA. RefSeq lists it as uncharacterized. Lineage: Eukaryota; Metazoa; Chordata; Actinopteri; Siluriformes; Trichomycteridae. The record is from RefSeq and is a predicted model, not a curated record. The transcript is spliced from 3 exons.